Molecule: long non-coding RNA, 1137 nt
Organism: Dreissena polymorpha
Lineage: Eukaryota; Metazoa; Mollusca; Bivalvia; Myida; Dreissenidae
Exons: 7
Source: RefSeq, a predicted model, not a curated record
CCUUUGUAAAGCUAACAUCAAGGUGGAUAAUUGCAUGUUCGCCUCUUCACCACAUGGGACUUGAAUAUUGGACUGCAUUUUCGUAAUGAACGCCGCCAUUGGACUUUAAAAAUUCGUUCAACAAUUUGAAGCAGCAUAUAUAUUUUCCUGACACCAUGUCUUCCGACCGGAACCCAUCGCUUCCUCCGAUGCUCGACAUAUCUCAUCUGAAUGAAGAGGAGCGGAAAAUCAUCGAGGAUGUGCUCCGGAGGCAUAAGGAGAAAGAAGAGAAGGAGCAAGAUAUGAAACGGAGACAUCCCAUAGUGUACAGCAGUAGCUGUACUAUGGAGGUCAACGAUGCUCACGAAGAUGGCGAUAAGGUUCGACAAUCUGAGGAGCUAGACGUUCAACCAGACCCAGAGUGGCUUGCACAGUCUUGGGCAACUUUGUAAACGAGAUAGAAAACCCAACAGGAACCUAUCAAGAGCUACCAGGAUCGUCAAAUGAUGGAGAUUGGGCCGCAGAGUGUGGGAGACUCCUUGCAAGGAUGUCAAGGAAGGUAAUGAAAACAGAUGCUGCUGAGUUCGAGCGCAUAACGCAGAUUAUGAGCACACGGAUCACUUUUGCGAACUUUAGGACACUUGCAAAAUUGAUCUUUAAAGACGGUAUGUCCUUGGAAACAAUUACAGCUCUUCUUUACGCGAGCUUCUGUCUGCUCAAAGCGAUGACCGAGCGGCUUGGACUGAAGUUAGAAGACGUUGUCAUGGAAAUCGCCUCAUACAUCGUUCGUAUCUUCAAAGACAGAAUCGCUCGAUGGAUUGCAUGUCAUAUUGGCUGGGGAUCUUCAAUGCGCUACUCAGUGACGCCUGUCUAAUUCAAGAUGAUCUGUUUAAUAUUGGAAGAUGAAGCGGAUGCCAGUGUUGUGGUGACGCUGUUGAACAUUGGAAAGUAACCUCCAUCAGUGCCCAAUUGUUUAUUUACAGUAAAAACCCUAAAGUUUUUUUAAUUUUAAAAAGAAAAACAAAACAGUUUAACAUGGAUACGGUUUUAAUGUGCUUUGUAUUCUAUAUCAUCAUACAUUCUUAAUAACAAAUAUAUGCUUAUUAUGUCUUAGUUUUUGUUAGAAUUAUGCGCUUUGUUAAUAAAUCUUUUAUGGAU